CACCACUCCCAGCCAGCCCCCCUCCCCCACUUACACGGCCACUCAGCUGAAAAGGACAUUACGCACAUUAGUCCCCCUGCACAAUAGUCCCCCUGAGAAAAGAGGCAGGUCCUCCGACGGCCAGCUGCCUCCACAGAGGCCACAGAGCGGCCUCGGGUUUCCGUCAGUACCCCCACUUCUGCUAAGGGACUGUCGGUGAGUCCAGGUCCAGGUGCCCAGCCACCCGGGGCUUUGGGCUCUACAUUCUGACUUGGAGGAAACCCCAUCCCCGAAGGCUUCCCACCAAUGGCAUCUCCCACUCCUGGGCAGACACGUCGGUGGCCUCUGGAUUCACAAAGCUGCCUCCCGCGUCCUUAGGAAGCAGUGAAGGAAGUGCCAGGGCGGGGCUCCGCCAGCGCAGCAGGGAGCCCAAGUCAGCGGGGCCAUUCUGAGAGGUAAAGUCCAACUCAACUAAGCUGGCCUCCAGCCAAAGGAGGCCGGCUAGGGACGGCACACCCCUGCGCCAGGACAUCCCAGACCUGGGAGGGGGGGAGACGGACCCACCCAUGCGCACACUCACCAUGUGUCACAUGUGUCACAGUGUGAAAACGCAGAGGUGGGAGACAGUGUGAACCAGCCAGGGCCACCAGACUCCACUGAGGCGAGACACCGGGACACAAAUCCAGGGCUGCAGGGGGUGGAGCGACCCUUUAUGGGACGGGGUCUCCCAGGGUGAUAGGCAUGCUCUGGAAGUAGAGAGGUAGGGGCUGCAGGAGGCACGGACGUACGUACCAAGUGCCACUGCAAAGUCCCCUCAACGGGUUCCUUCACCUCCUGCAGAUUGGCCCCGUGAAGAGAGUCUCAAUGCAGCGCCACUAAGAAAUGUGCGCGACCGCUUCGUGGAAAGCCCUGGACCCCGCAUUGCGUCUGUAAACAUCACUAUUGUAAUAAUCGGGAGAAAACGUGCUGAGCCAUUUCUAUGCAGGGAAAAGGCACCAGGCUGCAGGCCACCCAUUCACCAGGACCCUCAGCACCCACACCCUUCCUUCCCUGAACAACUUUACCCUCCUUUGGAAUGUUCCAGGCCAAUAAAAAUGUACCCCAGACGACUGGCUUGCUUGGGGGAGGAAGAAAGCCAAUUUCCCUCUAAGCAGUAUUUGUCCUUCCUCUGGAAUUUGGACGUCAAAGAUUUAAAAAUAAGUUUCUCCCUGGAACAGAGGGCCGGAGUUCAGCGCGCGCGGGAAUGCACUUCCCGGCCCCGGGCUGGGCGCCGGCUCUGGGAGCAGGACUGGGUGCAGUGCAGUGGGACGCUCUCAGAGUCCUCAAAGACCAGCAUCUGGCAGGACUGCGGACUCCAGC
Molecule: long non-coding RNA, 1338 nt
Filed under: Ictidomys tridecemlineatus (thirteen-lined ground squirrel)
Lineage: Eukaryota; Metazoa; Chordata; Mammalia; Rodentia; Sciuridae
Description: lncRNA (ENSSTOG00000034309.1)
Source: RNAcentral